GACCAGGUAGCUCAAUUGGUAGAGUAUCCGUCUGGAGUACGAAGGGUCCCGGGUUCAAACCCCGGUCUGGCCA
This is a non-coding RNA of Mizuhopecten yessoensis (Yesso scallop), 73 nucleotides long. The record is from the annotation of a RefSeq genome assembly. Lineage: Eukaryota; Metazoa; Mollusca; Bivalvia; Pectinida; Pectinidae.